GGAACACAGGUGCUGCAUGGCUGUCGUCAGCUCGUGUCGUGAGAUGUUGGGUUAAGUCCCGCAACGAGCGCAACCCUCGCCCUUAGUUGCCAUCAUUCAGUUGGGCACUCUAAGGGGACUGCGGGUGAUAAGCCGCGAGGAAGGUGGGGAUGACGUCAAGUCCUCAUGGCCCUUACAGGUUGGGCUACACACGUGCUACAAUGGCGGUGACAAUGGGAUGCAAUGGAGCAAUCCUGCGCAAAUCUCAAAAAGCCGUCUCAGUUCGGAUUGGGGUCUGCAACUCGACCCCAUGAAGUUGGAAUCGCUAGUAAUCGCAGAUCAGCACGCUGCGGUGAAUACGUUCCCAGGCCUUGUACACACCGCCCGUCACACCAUGGGAGUUGGGAGCGCCCGAAGCCAGUGAGCUAACCAGUAAUGGAGGCAGCUGUC
This 429-nucleotide ribosomal RNA is filed under the name uncultured Alphaproteobacteria bacterium. RNAcentral describes it as "bacterial SSU rRNA". It matches the Rfam family "Bacterial small subunit ribosomal RNA", at positions 1029 to 1457 of the family's 1533-position model. The record is from RNAcentral. Lineage: Bacteria; Pseudomonadati; Pseudomonadota; Alphaproteobacteria.